This 1302-nucleotide long non-coding RNA is filed under the name Sus scrofa (pig). Its description in RNAcentral is "lncRNA (ENSSSCG00015080769.1)". The record is from RNAcentral. Lineage: Eukaryota; Metazoa; Chordata; Mammalia; Artiodactyla; Suidae.
AAAAAAAAAAAAAAGAAAGAAAAAAGAAAACUUUACCUACUCCAGGAUCAUGAACCCAUUCUCCUAUUUUCUCAUUUAAGAGCUUCAUUGUUUUACCUGUCAUUAGAUCUGUAGUCUAUCUGAAGUUAAUUUUUUUAUGUGUGGUGUGAGGUGUACCGUCAGCCCUGUGCAGAAAUUGGGUUGAUCUAAUACUGUGGUUGAAAAGGUCGUUCUUUUCCUUCUCUGCUCUGGUACCUCCCUUGUCAUAAGUCAGGUGACCGUUAUGCGUGGCUCUGUUUCCAGGCUGUGUUAUAUUCUGUUGGCCAUUUUUGUAUCCUUGCACUGAUACCACAUUGUCUUUUAUUUAAUCUAGUUUAUUUUUUGGCUGAGCUCACAGCAUGCAGCAGUUCCUGGGCCAGGGGUAGAACCCAGGCCACAGCAGUGACCCUGGCUACAGUGUGGACAGUGUUGGAUCCUUAACGGCUAAUCCACCAGGGAACUCCCACACUGUCCGUACUAUUACAGUAGGUUUUGACGCUGGCAGUGUAGGUCCAUCAGCUUAUUGUUCUUGAGGCCUUGGCUGUUCUUGGCCUUUUGUAUUGCUAUGUGGAUUGUGGAGUCAGUUUGUCAAUUUCUGCAAAGAAAAAAAACCUGUUAUGAUUUUGUUUGGGUUUGCAUUGAGUUUAUAGAUCAGUUUGGGACAGCUGACAUUUAACUACAUGUAGUCUUCAGUUAAUGAAUGUGGUACAUCCUUCUGUUUAUUUAAGUCUUUGAAGUUACUUUUCUGUAAUAGUCUAUAGGUUUCCUUAUAUUGGUCUAUGUAUCGUCCAUUCAUUUUUUUCCCCCUCUAGAUAUUUAACAUGUUUUGGAUGUGAUAGUAAAUUAUACUACUAGAUUUAAGGGUCUUUUAUAAAAAAUAAAAUCAAUGAUUUCAAUGAAAUCUCUUAGUACUCAUCACUUCCAUCUUUUUUGUAUCUUUGCUACAAAAGCUUCCUUAUAAAUGAGUCAAGAAAAAAUUCUGUGUGUAGUGCUGUUUCUUUAAUCUCACCAGAAUCUUUUCAAAAUUGUAAUUAAAGCAGUUGCUGGAGUUCCCAUCGUGGCGCAGUGGUUAACGAAUCCGACUAGGAACCAUGAGGUUGCGGGUUCGGUCCCCGUCCUUGCUCAGUGGGUUAAUGAUCCGGUGUUGCCGUGAACUGUGGUGUAGGUUGCAGAUGCGGCUUGGAUCCCACGAUGCUGUGGCUCUGGCGUAGGCCGGUGGCUACAGCUCCGAUUCAACCCCUAGCCUGAGAACCUCCAUAUGCCGUGGGAGCGGCCCAAGAAAUA